AACACUGUUAACCUGCGGUACCUGCGGAAGGAUCAUUACCGAGUGUGGUCCCAUAAGGGGCGCCUCCCGUCCUUUGCAGGGCCUUUAGGGGCUUUUUGACUUUGCUUCGGCGGGCUUGCCCCGCCGGAACACCCUCAAGGAAAUCUUUAUGAACCGUUUGUCUGAGUUGCUUGCGAAUAAAAACAAAACUUUCAACAAUGGAUCU
RNAcentral lists this unclassified non-coding RNA (205 nucleotides) under soil metagenome. Its description in RNAcentral is "partial contains 5.8S ribosomal RNA, internal transcribed spacer 2, and large subunit ribosomal RNA". The record is from RNAcentral.